This is an RNA transcript of Cyclopterus lumpus (lumpfish), 1674 nucleotides long. It is a transcript of the gene named N-acylethanolamine-hydrolyzing acid amidase-like, with no coding region annotated. The transcript has 11 exons. Lineage: Eukaryota; Metazoa; Chordata; Actinopteri; Perciformes; Cyclopteridae. The record is from RefSeq and is a predicted model, not a curated record.
CCGCACGGUGUCCCAGCUCCGCUCGGACGGAGCGGACCAGUCGCGUUGAUGAUGAUGAUGAUGAUGAUGAUGCUGCUGCUGCUGCUGCGGGCUGCGGUGCUGCUGCUCGGACUCGGAGUCUCGUGCCCGGCGCAGGUCGCGCCCCCCACGGUGACCGUCAGCCUGGAUGAAGCUCCAGAGGUGCGAUGGGACUCUCUGGGGAAAGUGUUCGACGUGGACUACCUGAGGAAAGCCGCCGCGGAGGUCAUCGACACGACGGUUCCUAAAUGGGUCCAUCGCGCAGUGAGGCCGCUGGUGAAGGACCUCGAAAAGUACAUUCCUCAGCCGUACGGGGGGGAGAUCCGCGGCUUGGCCUCGCACCUGGGAGACAUUUCAGACGUCAUCAUUCUCAACUUUGCCUAUGAAAUAUCUGCAUUCUGCACCAGCAUCGUCGCUCAGGACGAGAAGGGGCACAUGUACCACGGCAGGAACCUUGAUUAUCCACACGCGGUUCUGAGGAAUCUGACGAUGGACGUGAUAUUCAUCAAGAAUGGAAAGGUGGCGUACCGUGGAACGUCUUUUGCCGGAUACAUCGGCCUGUGGACGGGACAGAGUCCCAACAAGUUCACGGUGUCUGGUGACCAGCGAGGCAGUGAACACUUGUGGAACUUGUGGAAGAACAUGGUGUCUGCGCUCCUCUUUCGGAGAUCCCCCGUCAGCUGGCUGGUGAGGGAGACGCUGGCGGAAGCGGAGGACUUUCAGGACGCCGUGAUGCGCCUCGCCAAGAUUCACAUCAUCACCGGGGUGUAUUACAUCGUGGGAGGGACGCGAGCAGGCGAAGGGGUCGUCAUCACCAGAGACCGAACGGGCCCCGCCGACAUCUGGCCCCUGGAUCCCCUGACUGGAGGAUGGUACCGAGUGGAGACCAACUUUGACCACUGGCUCCCGCCUCCAACCAGGGAUCACCGCAGGGACGCAGCCAACAAAGCACUAAACGCUACAGGCCAAGAGAACAUCAGCUUGGAGACCCUUUACCAGGUUCUGUCGCUGUAUCCGGUGUGCAACGGGUAAGGAGAUCUUCAUCCGCCCGAGUGACUAUUUACACGACAUUAAUGAGUGCGGCAGCCCCCGAGAAGUACAACACACUCAUUAGGCCGAAGGGCUGCCCACCGAACUGACGGGCCUCGAGACGGUCGACGCCACACAGGCCGCCGUGCCGUCGUGACGGUCGCACGCCGGUUCACGAUCACGUGAACGUGUGAAUAAUCGACGAUUGCGACGGAAGUGGACCGAGGCAUCGUGAGGGGCGACGCCGCUUUUCUGCCGCUAAUAAAAAUUGCAUCGAUAAUUUUUUUUAGAACCGGAAUUUAUAUGUCAAGCUUAAUAACAUUUUUAAUUGAUUGCCAAAUUAAAUUAUAUGGUUGUUCAUAUUAAGUAAUAUGACAACUUCCAAAAACCAAUGGAUGUUUUUUUAGAAAAGAUCAUAAUGACUUGACCUCCAAAAGUAACAUUCCAAUGUCCCAAAAACCUGGAAUUAUUCUGGUGUGCCGAUGAUUGCUGUUUAAUGACAGGAAGAAAGAUGUACUACAUCAUGCUUUCUCCAGUAACCGUUGUCAGAUUUAUGAUUUAUGGAUGUUGUAGACAAUGAAGGUCUAUUUUUUUACUUUAAUAAAUGGUGGUUGUGAUUUCUAUGAA